GGCCCUACGGGGCGCAGCAGUAGGGAAUUUUCGUCAAUGGGCGCAAGCCUGAACGAGCAAUGCCGCGUGAACGAGGAAGGUCUUCGGAUCGUAGAGUUCUGUUGAAGGGGAAAAAGAACGGAGAGAGGAAAUGAACUCCGAUUGAUAUUACCCUUCGAGGAAGUCACGGCUAACUACGUGCCAGCAGCCGCGGUAAUACGUAGGUGGCGAGCGUUAUCCGGAAUGAUUGGGCGUAAAGGGUGCGUAGGCGGCCUGCUAAGUCUGGAGUGAAAGCCUUCGGCUCAACCGGAGACUUGCAUCAGAAA
Molecule: ribosomal RNA, 305 nt
Filed under: uncultured bacterium
Lineage: Bacteria
Description: bacterial SSU rRNA
Rfam family: Bacterial small subunit ribosomal RNA
Source: RNAcentral